AUCCAGCUGACGAGUCAGAAAUAGGACGAAAUGUGCAUCUUGAAU
Molecule: non-coding RNA, 45 nt
Filed under: Trichobilharzia regenti
Lineage: Eukaryota; Metazoa; Platyhelminthes; Trematoda; Strigeidida; Schistosomatidae
Source: RNAcentral